Molecule: ribosomal RNA, 301 nt
Filed under: uncultured bacterium
Lineage: Bacteria
Description: partial 16S ribosomal RNA
Rfam family: Bacterial small subunit ribosomal RNA
Source: RNAcentral
CAGUAGCCACGGUAAUACAGAGGGUGCGAGCGUUAAUCGGAUUUACUGGGCGUAAAGCGUGCGUAGGCGGCUUCUUAAGUCGGAUGUGAAAUCCCUGAGCUUAACUUAGGAAUUGCAUUCGAUACUGGGAAGCUAGAGUAUGGGAGAGGAUGGUAGAAUUCCAGGUGUAGCGGUGAAAUGCGUAGAGAUCUGGAGGAAUACCGAUGGCGAAGGCAGCCAUCUGGCCUAAUAAUGACGCUGAGGUACGAAAGCAUGGGGAGCAAACAGGAUUAGAUACCCGUGUAGUCCCUGUCUCUUAUAC